AUCCCCUGAAAUUACACAUAUAUAGCUUUUGGAGGGAUGGUUUAUAAGUGUAUUAAAUGAAAUAAAAGUCUGAGAUUUUAAUCAGAUUCUCAGUAUUUCCUGUUUUCCACUUUCUAGGAAUAUAGUAGGAUUGCAUUUCUUGGCUCUUUUGAGUUUUGUGGCGGACCAUGUGAUUAGUGGUGUUGAGUUGUGAAUAGAAGUGUGCCACUUCCCAAUCACAGCAUUUAAUUACCUGUGUGCAGCCCUCCAGAGCUCACGCCCCCUCUGCUGCAAUUCCCAGCAACAGUCCAGACGAUCACUGCUCAGUGUGUUCAGGUCCCAGAAGGAAAGGGUGCAGAGCAGAGCCCCAGCUGACCUGCAGGGGACAUGUGAUAUAUGGUUAGUUGUGAUGCAGGUCCUGCCCCAGCAGCCCCCUGAGAUGGUUACAUGCCAUUCCAGACCCUCCUCAAAGUUCUGAAGGGAAACAGUACGCCAGGCACAAUGGAUGCAAAGAUGAACAUGCUGAGGUCGUGCAAACGGAUGACAUUACCUGUAAGAUCACAAUUACUACUGCAGUUGAUAAUAGCCAGUGCUACUGAGGGGCCAGGGAGCAGGCACUCAUAGACUGUAGAAGGAACUAGAAAUUGGUAGGUCCUUUCUGGAGUACAAUUUGGCAGUGUAUAGCAAAAAGCUUAGAAAUGUACAUAUCCAUGACUCAACAAUUUCCCUUCUAGAUAUUUGUUGGUUAUAAGCCGAAGAUCUGCUCCCCACCAAGAGGACCCUACUUCAGUGUGGCCAUCUUGCACCCCAAGCAGGCACCUAGGAUCCCUAUCCACUGACACACAGGGCAGACCCCAAGUCCUGGCACCCUAAGAGGGCCUAUGAGCGCCCAUUGAAAAGCAGCUGAAGAAGAGUCAGGGUCUAACCUGAUCCGGUGCUUUGCUCAUGUUUAACACAUACUCUCCCGGAAGGGCACUGAUUCCCUCUUGCAGUUAUAUAUUGCUGUGUA
Long non-coding RNA from Manis pentadactyla (Chinese pangolin), 988 nucleotides. RefSeq lists it as uncharacterized. Lineage: Eukaryota; Metazoa; Chordata; Mammalia; Pholidota; Manidae. The transcript is spliced from 3 exons. The record is from RefSeq and is a predicted model, not a curated record.